CCUUAGAUGUUCUGGGCCGCACGCGCGCUACACUGAUCAAGUCAACGAGUUUACAACCUUGGCCGGAAGGUCUGGGUAAUCUUUUGAAACUUGAUCGUGCUGGGGAUAGUCCAUUGCAAUUAUUGGACUUCAACGAGGAAUUCCUAGUAAGCGUGAGUCAUCAGCUCGCGUUGAUUACGUCCCUGCCCUUUGUACACACCGCCCGUCGCUACUACCGAUUGAAUGUGUUAGUGAGGCCUUCGAAUUGACGAUGAGGAGCCGGCAACGGCACUUUGUUGGUGAGAAGUUGGUCAAACUUGUGCAUUUAGAGGAAGUAAAAGUCGUAACAAGGUU
This 333-nucleotide ribosomal RNA is filed under the name uncultured eukaryote. RNAcentral describes it as "bacterial SSU rRNA". It matches the Rfam family "Eukaryotic small subunit ribosomal RNA", at positions 1471 to 1801 of the family's 1831-position model. The record is from RNAcentral.